Pipistrellus kuhlii (Kuhl's pipistrelle) is the source of this 119-nucleotide small nucleolar RNA. RefSeq annotates it as small nucleolar RNA SNORA40. NCBI's taxonomy places the organism in Eukaryota, Metazoa, Chordata, Mammalia, Chiroptera, Vespertilionidae. The record is from RefSeq and is a predicted model, not a curated record. The transcript has a single exon.
AGCAUUUGUGUUUGUUUUUGUAACUGUAGACAAAAACUACAUACAGGUGCUAAAAAUAAAGCCUCUUUUGCAACCCAGAACUCAUUUUUCAUACUUUGAUACAUAUAAAAAGGAACAUG